Molecule: unclassified non-coding RNA, 258 nt
Filed under: Hevea brasiliensis (rubber tree)
Lineage: Eukaryota; Viridiplantae; Streptophyta; Magnoliopsida; Malpighiales; Euphorbiaceae
Source: RNAcentral
AAAAGAAGAAGAAGAAGAAGAAAGCGUUUCCAAUACAAAAGCAAAAAGAUUAAUAUUAAUUAUUGGAUUUGGGUGGAUGAGUGUGGGGAAUGAGAAUGCAAAAUUUUCAAUAAUGGUUUUAGUGAAUGAUUGGUUUUGGUAUGAAUAAGAAAAAAAAGGAGUGGUGGGUUUUGUUAGAGUUUGAGAGAUUAGGAGAGAGACAAGGUAAAGUGUGAGCAGGUGGAGUGUAGAGAAGAACUUUAUAGAAAUAUAAAAAAG